This 253-nucleotide ribosomal RNA is filed under the name uncultured bacterium. Its description in RNAcentral is "partial 16S ribosomal RNA". It matches the Rfam family "Bacterial small subunit ribosomal RNA", at positions 524 to 776 of the family's 1533-position model. The record is from RNAcentral.
UACGGGGGGGGCAAGCGUUGUUCGGAAUUACUGGGCGUAAAGGGCUCGUAGGCGGCCAACUAAGUCGGAUGUGAAAUCCCCAGGCUCAACUUGGGAGCUGCAUCCGAUACUGGAUGGCUUGAAUUCGGGAGAGGGAUGCAGAAUUCCAGGUGUAGCGGUGAAAUGCGUAGAUAUCUGGAGGAAUACCGGUGGCGAAGGCGGCAUCCUGGACCGACAUUGACGCUGAGGAGCGAAAGCUAGGGGAGCAAACGGG